CAAGUCUGAUGGAGCAACGCCGCGUGAGUGAAGAAGGGUUUCGGCUCGUAAAGCUCUGUUGGUAGUGAAGAAAGAUAGGGGUAGUAACUGGCCUUUAUUUGACGGUAAUUACUUAGAAAGUCACGGCUAACUACGUGCCAGCAGCCGCGGUAAUACGUAGGUGGCAAGCGUUGUCCGGAUUUAUUGGGCGUAAAGCGAGUGCAGGCGGUUCAAUAAGUCUGAUGUGAAAGCCUUCGGCUCAACCGGAGAAUUGCAUCAGAAACUGUUGAACUUGAGUGCAGAAGAGGAGAGUGGAACUCCAUGUGUAGCGGUGGAAUGCGUAGAUAUAUGGAAGAACACCAGUGGCGAAGGCGGCUCUCUGGUCUGCAACUGACGCUGAGGCUCGAAAGCAUGGGUAGCGAACAGGAUUAGAUACCCUGGUAGUCCAUGCCGUAAACGAUGAGUGCUAAGUGUUGGGAGGUUUCCGCCUCUCAGUGCUGCAGCUAACGCAUUAAGCACUCCGCCUGGGGAGUACGACCGCAAGGUUGAAACUCAAAGGAAUUGACGGGGGCCCGCACAAGCGGUGGAGCAUGUGGUUUAAUUCGAAGCAACGCGAAGAACCUUACCAGGUCUUGACAUCCAGUGCAAACCUAAGAGAUUAGGUGUUCCCUUCGGG
Molecule: ribosomal RNA, 655 nt
Filed under: Lactobacillus gasseri
Lineage: Bacteria; Bacillati; Bacillota; Bacilli; Lactobacillales; Lactobacillaceae
Description: bacterial SSU rRNA
Rfam family: Bacterial small subunit ribosomal RNA
Source: RNAcentral